Molecule: ribosomal RNA, 443 nt
Filed under: uncultured bacterium
Lineage: Bacteria
Description: partial 16S ribosomal RNA
Rfam family: Bacterial small subunit ribosomal RNA
Source: RNAcentral
CCUACGGGGGACAGCAGUGGGGAAUAUUGGACAAUGGAGGGAACCCUGAUCCAGCGACGCCGCGUGAGUGAAGAAGUAUUUCGGUUUGUAAAGCUCUGUCAUCAGGGAUGAACACAAUGACGGUACCUGACUAAGAAGCCACGGCUAACUACGUGCCAGCAGCCGCGGUAAUACGUAGGGGGCAAGCGUUAUCCGGAUUUACUGGGUGUAAAGGGUGCGUAGGUGGUUACGUAAGUCGGGAGUGAAAGGCCGGGGCUCAACCCCCGCACUACCGUGGAAACUGUAUGACUGGAGUGCAGGAGAGGUAAGUGGAAUUCCUAGUGUAGCGGUGGAAUGCGUAGAUAUUAGGAGGAACACCAGGGGCGAAGGCGACUUACUGGACUGUAACUGACGUUGAGGCACGAAAGCGUGGGGAGCAAACAGGAUUAGAUACCCGAGUAGUC